GACGAACGCUGGCGGCGUGCUUAACACAUGCAAGUCGAACGGAAAGGCCCUGCUUUUGUGGGGUGCUCGAGUGGCGAACGGGUGAGUAGCACGUGAGUAACCUGCCCUUGACUUUGGGAUAACUUCAGGAAACUGGGGCUAAUACCGGAUAGGAGCUCCUGCUGCAUGGUGGGGGUUGGAAAGUUUCGGCGGUUGGGGAUGGACUCGCGGCUUAUCAGCUUGUUGGUGGGGUAGUGGCUUACCAAGGCUUUGACGGGUAGCCGGCCUGAGAGGGUGACCGGCCACAUUGGGACUGAGCUACGGCCCAGACCCCGACGGGAGGCAGGAGUGGAGAAUAGUGCACAAUGGGCGGAAGCCGGAUGCGGCAAAGCCGCGCGGGGGAUGCCGGCCUUCGGGUUGUAACCCGCUUUCGCCUGUGACGAAGCGUGAGUGACGGUAAUGGGUAAAGAAGCACCGGCUAACUACGUG
This 468-nucleotide ribosomal RNA is filed under the name uncultured bacterium. Its description in RNAcentral is "partial 16S ribosomal RNA". It matches the Rfam family "Bacterial small subunit ribosomal RNA", at positions 28 to 507 of the family's 1533-position model. The record is from RNAcentral.